UCAAAGCCAAGCCAUGAGAUUGCCAACAGAACUGCAUUCAUUUUCUCAAACAUGAUCUCACUUGCAAUUACCAAACCAGUCCAAACUUCAAAGAACAAAAACCCUGGCCUUUGUUUUUCACUAUCCUUUCCUCAUGUUGAACCACUAAAUUGCAGCCAUCAAACAUAACAUGGCAGACCAAUCAACUUCAUUCACUCUCAAAAUCUCACCUUCUUGCAUUUUCAAAUUUUCUGUCAAAACUCCAAAAUCACCAAGCCUUGCCUUGCCUUGAACA
Molecule: long non-coding RNA, 274 nt
Filed under: Lathyrus oleraceus (garden pea)
Lineage: Eukaryota; Viridiplantae; Streptophyta; Magnoliopsida; Fabales; Fabaceae
Description: Pisum sativum (pea) long non-coding RNA (PSAT_LNC014148)
Source: RNAcentral